Molecule: long non-coding RNA, 4203 nt
Filed under: Fukomys damarensis (Damara mole-rat)
Lineage: Eukaryota; Metazoa; Chordata; Mammalia; Rodentia; Bathyergidae
Description: lncRNA (ENSFDAG00000032902.1)
Source: RNAcentral
AUGGAGUCCACCUCCCAGACACAGACCAAGAAAAGUUUCAGCUACUUCGUCAGAGUCCCCAACAGCAAUGGGUUUGAUGUCACGAACGUCGAUGUGAAGAUAGACACGUGCUGGAUAUUCCAGGAUGCGGAGGAUAGCAGUGGGGAGCAGGGGCAUCUUCCGGAGGAAGUGGCUGGCAGCCCAGAUGUGAACACUGCUGGGCUCAGGAAACAGUUGGAGUCCUCAGAGCAGCAGCUGUCGGCAGCGGUGGGCCAGUGCGUCCCGUUGGAGUCGGAGCUGAGGAGCAGGAUCCGAGAGCUGGAGCUGGCCGAGAGGGAGCUGCUGCGCCGGGUGGACGCACUGAGCGCCCGUGUGGUGCAGGAACGCAGCGCGGCGCUCCGUGCCCAUGAGAAGCUGCGGGCGCUGCGGGCAGAGCUGGCCAGCCGGGUACGUGUCUCCGCGCCCCUUUCUUCCCAGGUCUGUUCCCGUCCCAGCGGUGCAGCCCAACCUGCCCCGGGAAACAGGACCUGGUGCUGCCUGCCGGCCUCGCAGGCCCUGAGACUGUGGGCCACGGGGCCCUUCUCAAAGGCUGUGUCCUGCCCUGGUCCCUGUCCUCAGCAAUGACAGAAAGAAAAUCUCUGACCACGGGGGCUGGUGAGCCAGGUGUGGUGCUGCACACCUGUAAUCCCAGUUCUUGGGAGGCUGAGGCAGGAGGGUCACCAUGAGUUCCAGUCCAGCCUGGCGACAUAGUGAGACUGUCUCAAAAAUCCAAAACCAACAAACAAAAAAACCUGAGGCUGGGGGCGAGGAGGGGCUGCCCAGUGCAUGGGGCCAGAGUGGAGGAAGCUACGGAGAAGCAGGCUGUUUUGGGCAGGGCAUGCAGAGUGUAGGCAGGGUGGGCACCGAGCUGCGGGCCUGCGGUGGGGAAGGAAGGAGCCAGCAGCGGGAGCACGGGGUGUGCAGGCAGAGGGGGCGACGGCAGGACGCUAUCUGAAGGCCGGGAGAGGGCUCCGGGGGACGAGGUGAGCUCAGUCGGAGGUUAUGUUAGAGAGGCCCCGACGGGCGGGGUGGCUCCGGAGCUAAACCCAGCUCUGCCACCGAGCUGGCUGAGGGACCUUGGGAACGCGCUUCACCUCUCUGGGCCCAUUUCCUCCUCCGUGAGGUGGGAGUAACACCUGCCGGCCCCUCUUGCUGUUGCGUGUGAAGCACUGGCAUGGCAGGCAGUGAAAAAGCACGAUGUGCUUUGACUAUAGAAUCCUCGGCUGAAGUCCUGAAGUUCCCCAGGAGAGGUGCUGGGGCCCGAGGACAGGCCACUUUGGGGGAGUUUUGCGGACUUCCCGGUUUAGCUGAUGGCUCUCUGGACUGCAGCCCACAGUGCUGCACCCACAACUGGGCUCCAGGGUGGGUCCUGCGGGCCAUGACCAGCAUUUGUCCCCGAAGUGGAUGAGGAAACAUGACAGGCGCAGUGCAUGCUGGGAGUGCCGCUCCCAGAAACUUGGGUCUCCAUUCGUCGUGCGCGAGCAUGGACAACAACGGGGCAUGAUGGUCGUGUGGCGCUUACCACGGGAAGCCGUUGAGAAUGCUGGAAAGCACUGGGACGGCCGGCAGCGGCAGCGGGAGGGCAGGAGGCGGGAGUCUGGGCACGCAGUGCUGGGGUGCCAGGGACACGUCCAGCCUGACAUCCCUGGUGCACCGCCCCGAAGUGGAGCCCAGCCGGUUCCCUCCUUGGCUCCGGCGCCCUUCCAUCCUGAGGGGGAUUUGGCAUAGAAAGCACUGUGACAAGGGUCCAGAGCUGUGCCCCGCCUGGAGGUUGCCAAGGUGAUGCUGGCACAGCCCCACCCUAGAGAUGUUCACAGUGGAGUGGGCAGGGGUGGCGACAGGUCCAGGCAGGACCCGUGUCUCGGUGGGGAGAUGUCCACCUUCUUACAUGUAUGUCACUGUUUCCUGCGAUUGCGUGCACCUGGGGCAGACCCGUCACCAGGCCCACGUCCAGAUGAGGGCGGAAGUUCAGAGCCUGGGGGAUUGGCCCAGGGACCCUCUGCUGCCACUCAGACCCCCAAUCUCCUGCUGGAGACAUCUGUGUUUUGAAGUACAGAGUGUGGUUGGAAAAUAUAGUGAAUGGUUAAAUUUUUUAAAAUUAUUGUGUUUCUUCUUCUUCUUCUUUUUUUUUUUUUUUGGUACCAGAGAUCGAACUCAGGUCCUUGCGCUUGCGAGGCAGGUGCCGGAACCACUGAGCUAAAUCCCCAGCCCUCGAUUUGUAAAAAUUAUUACAGUAAAAGACACAUUGCCAAGAUUCCCCCUCAGCAUCCUCCCCUUGCUUCAGACACGCUUAUCUCAUUGUUGCCACUGCUCUCUCCGCUUUCUGAAGCAGUUCUGGGGCCCUCUUUUGUGAAUGUCUUUGGCUGCACGAUCACUGCUGCCUCCAUGUCCUGCAGCAAAUCAAAACGUACACCUUUCACGGUCAUUUGGACUUAGGGGAAGGGCCAGGGUCCCACCGGCCCAGACGCAGUGAGUAAGGUGGGCGAGGACACAUGGUGACGUUUUCACUCGAUGGAAACUGCUGUAAGCGUUGGAACUAACCUGGGACGUAAGGUAGCUGUGACAGGAUGCUCAGGAAAGAGGACUGGCCGAGCUGCCCGGAAGUGGCGGGAGAAGCGAGUUCACAGUGAGGGCGAGGACUCUGAGGGAGGGAAUGGCGGUGUGUCCUUCACUGCGAUGAAUUUUGGGAAACACAUUUAAACCUUAAACUUCAGUGCAACACCAUUUUAAGUAUUGUAAAAACAUAUGUGGCGAUUUACCAUAAUUUAUAUACAAAAUUCCACUUCUCAUUUUCCUCUGAUUUAAUGAACGCCAGGAUGCGCGGCCUUAGAAGUAAACUUUCAUCCACACAGAAACUUUCACUGUUUGUUCUGCUCACACCUUACAUGUGUCCUUGGAGCCGGUGGGUGUCUCCCGGGCCCUUGUCUCUGGUGUGCUCCGAGUGCAGUUUCGCCCUGCUGUCAGUGCUCCGGGGUGCAUUUAUUUCUGCCAUGCCGCGUAGUCGUUCUGCCUGCUGUCCAAGGCUGCCCACCGGGCCGUGGGGUCCCAGUCAGCUCGCACCCCGCACCUUGGAAAACACGGACAAUAUGUCAAGUUUUAGGCUGCCUCUCGCCUCUGCCAAACAAGCUAUCAACAGAGCCGACCCCGGCUAUUCCCCAGUUGUCUCCUUCCUGUUUGGUGUCUGCUUACUUGUGUCUCCGCCGGAGGCUGCAGCACAGUGCUAGCAGUUGGAAGAGAGUGUGAUUCAGGCGGUUGUGGUGGUGCAACCUUCGGGUCCAGCCACUCAGAAGGCUGAGGCAGGAGGAUCAAAAGUUCCUGGUCCGCUUACUUUUCUGUCUCAAGGGAAACAGACAUAGGACUGGGGAUGCAGCUCAGUGGUAAAGCACUUGUGUAGCACACAUCAGGCCCUGGGUUCAGUCCCCAGUACUGCAAAAAAUGGGGAGGGGGAUGAAACAGGGAGAUCUUUUCACUGCUUUACUUGAACUAACUCUGAAAAUCUGGCAAAGUCAGGCAAGGAUGCCCAAUAUUUGUGGUCAUGGGCACCCCAGCCGGCUCCCAGCGUGCGGCAUAUCCUGGGGACAGGCAGGGCGGCCCCGCGGGGAAGGACAAGGGCCGAGUCAGACUCCGCCCUACUCGCCGCAGUCCCGCUGGUGGUGCAGUGCAGUGACACCGUGUCAGUCACUCCCGUGUGUCUGCUGCAGCCGUGAGUCUCUCCCUGGGGUCAUUCCCAGUCACCAAGGCUGCUGUGGCCCGGCUGGGCCAGGCGGUGGGCAUCGGCUCUGGGGCCCGAGUUUGCGGACCGGCGUGGGUGUGCCUGCUACCGGGGACUUCCGCGGCUCUCCAGCCCUCCACCCUCCGCACCGCUCCCUUCCGAGGACCUGAGGAGCUUAUGGGGGUGCAGGGCCAGAACUAGGCUGGGGUAAAAGGGGCUCCUGGUUCCUGGGCAACGUGUCAGCGAGAACCAAAGACCUCGGCCAUGGAAAUACGUACAGUACUGUUUUGAUGCAAAAAUAGAAGGCGAAACCCCGCACUGUGUGCAGCCACGGAAACACGCAAAGCUAGGAUCAGCGUGAGCGAUGGCGUGCCCUGGGGGCUUCCUGACCCAGGUCCCGCCAACUUGUAGGUCCAGGAAGAGGAGCUCACGGCCCGGCGGCAGCGGGAGCAGCUGCGGAGGUGGCGGCAGCG